RNAcentral lists this transfer RNA (174 nucleotides) under Hemiselmis andersenii. RNAcentral describes it as "tRNA-Arg". The stretch from base 1 to 91 matches the Rfam family "tRNA". Rfam says of the family: Transfer RNA (tRNA) molecules are approximately 80 nucleotides in length. Their secondary structure includes four short double-helical elements and three loops (D, anti-codon, and T loops). Lineage: Eukaryota; Cryptophyceae; Cryptomonadales; Hemiselmidaceae. The record is from RNAcentral.
GUCCCUGUGGCCUAACGGAUAAAGCGUCUGUCUCCUAAAUUGGUUAAUUUUGGUUAACAGAAGAUUGUGGGUUCGAAUCCCACCUGGGAUUUUUUUCUCAAAAAUUGAUUAAAACUCUUUUUUUCUCCUAAAAAAAUUAACAGAAGAUUGUGGGUUCGAAUCCCACCUGGGAUU